Molecule: ribosomal RNA, 469 nt
Filed under: uncultured bacterium
Lineage: Bacteria
Description: partial 16S ribosomal RNA
Rfam family: Bacterial small subunit ribosomal RNA
Source: RNAcentral
GACGAACGCUGGCGGCGUGCUUAAUACAUGCAAGUCGAACGGAAAGGCGCUUCUUGCAGGUUGGGCGAGGUGCGAACGGGCGAGUAACUCGGGGGUGAUUUGCCCCUUAUUUUGGGAUAAGCCUGGGAAACUGGGUCUAAUACUCUAUAGGACCAUACUUUAGUUUGUGUGGUUGUUAGAGUAGAUUCGGUUACGGUUGAUGUGGCGGCGUAUCAGCUUGUUGGUGUGGUUAUGGCCUACCAAGGCGUCGACGGGUAGCCGGCCUGAGAGGAGGGACAGCCACAUUGGGACUGAGCUACGGCGCAGAGCACUACGGGAGGCAGCAGUGGAGAAGAUUGCACAAUGAGCGAAAGACGGCUGGAGCGGGGCGGCGGGGGGGAUGACGGCAUUCGGGUUGUAAAGUCCGUGAAGCAAUGGCGAAGCACUUGUCGUGACGGUAGUGGAAGAAGAAGCACCGGCUAACUACGUG